RNAcentral lists this ribosomal RNA (940 nucleotides) under uncultured bacterium. RNAcentral describes it as "bacterial SSU rRNA". It matches the Rfam family "Bacterial small subunit ribosomal RNA", at positions 28 to 978 of the family's 1533-position model. The record is from RNAcentral.
GGUGAACGCUGGCGGCGUGCUUGACACAUGCAAGUCGAACGGUAUGUGGCAACACAUAGAGUGGCGAACGGGUGAGUAACACGUGGGAACGUACCUUCUGCAGGGGGAUAACUGACCGAAAGGACAGCUAAUACCGCAUAAGACCGAGAGGAGAAAGGUGCAACAGCAUCGGCAGAGGAGCGGCCCGCGGACCAUCAGCUAGUUGGUGGGGUAAGAGCCUACCAAGGCAACGACGGAUAGCCGGCGUGAGAGCGUGGCCGGCCACAAGGACACUGAGAUACGGGUCCUACUCCUACGGGAGGCAGCAGUGCGGAAUUUUAGAUAAUGGAGGCAACUCUGAUCUAGCGACGCCGCGUGCAGGAAGAAGGUCUUCGGAUUGUAAACUGCUGUGGUAAGGGAAAAAUGCCAUGUAGAGUGGAAAGCUACAUGGAGGGAUGGUACUUUACUAGAAAGCCCCGGCUAACUACGUGCCAGCAGCCGCGGUAAUACGUAGGGGGCGAGCGUUACCCGGAAUCACUGGGCGUAAAGGGAGCGUAGGUGGCCUGACAUGUCGACUGUGAAAACCCGGAGCUCAACUCCGGACUUGCAGUUGAAACUGCCAGGCUUGAGGACGGUAGAGGAAGACGGAACUGCCAGUGUAGGGGUAAAAUCCUUAGAUAUUGGCAGGAACGCCGGUGACGAAGGUGGUUUUCUGGGCCGGUUCUGACACUGAUGCUCGAAAGCCAGGGGAGCGAACGGGAUUAGAUACCCCGGUAGUCCUGGCCCUAAACGAUGUUCACUAGGUGUGGGGAGCGGAAAGCUUUCCGUGCUAAAGCUAACGCGAUAAGUGAACCGCCUGGGGAGUACGCCCGCAAGGGUGAAACUCAAAGGAAUUGACGGGGGCCCGCACAAGCGGUGGAGCGUGUGGUUUAUUCGAUGCUAAGCGAAAGACCUUACCAAA